Mus musculus (house mouse) is the source of this 8112-nucleotide RNA transcript. It is a transcript of the gene named caldesmon 1, with no coding region annotated. The transcript is spliced from 14 exons. Lineage: Eukaryota; Metazoa; Chordata; Mammalia; Rodentia; Muridae. The record is from RefSeq and is marked validated.
CAUAAUGUGUGUGUGUGUGUGUGUGUGUGUGUGUGUGUGUGUGUGUUAUGUGCAUGAAGGCAAUGGACACAGCACUCCCACACAUUUUUUCUCUUCACUAUGGAAUUGUUUCAACAUAGCUGUUCUUAAACAACCAUUACAGCCUAGGAAGUCUGGAAUAGAUCAUGUGGCCCAGGCUCCUACCUCCAUGAAGUAAAGUUAUUUUUAAAAUCAUAUUUUAUUAAUAAAGGACCACCCUGUGGUGGGAGCUGUUCUUUUCGACCAUGCUGACCUCCAUCAAACCUUCCCAGCCCAGAGUCUCUUUGAUGAAACAUUAAACAAUAGAAUGUGCAGAAAUGAAAGCGGCUAUGAGCAACCUGAAGAUUAGUUUGCUCUAGUUGGAGUCCUGACCUGACAUCUUAUACAUGAUGCCUACUGUCUUGCUGAAUGACUGGUGGAGUUGAUGAUGCAGGUAGUUGGUCAUCAGGUUAGCUUUCAGCCAUACUGGUUCUGUAGGCUUGGCCUUCUCUGCCAACUCCCCAAGCACAUAUGCCUGAACAGAACAUGUGCCCACACUCUCAGCUGGUUUCUCAUCUUUGCUCCCUCCACUCCAACUACUGGCUCUCUGAUGACUGCUGGGAAGUUGGUGCCCAUCCCAACUCUGUUCUGAGCUUCCAACUGUCUUAUUGCUGCUCUGCCUAUCUGCCUUUUAUCUGCCCAUUGCUGGCCUCUGUGCUCUCUUUGUCCCUUGCUGGUGUCUUCUCCAGGUCUAAGACUCUCUUUUCUCUUCACUAUUCUCAUUUCUGUGCCUUAUAAGGCACCAUGAUAUGAGCCAGUAAGUUUCACCACUGUGUACUUAGGUUAGACAGACCCACAUACUCUAUAUACUUUAUAUUGAAAGCAGGAAGCCAGCCUGAGACUAUUCACAUGGUUUUCCUUUUCCUGUCUCUACACCUACAGAGAUAAGCGGGUGGAUAUUCUUUCUGUGAUUGUUCAUUAGUAGAUCUUUAGCACAUGAACACUGGAGCAGAAGAAUAACUGCAUCCUUGCACUCCACCCCCCAGUUAAUGUAGGAGUAUGUGUAUGAGAGAGAGAGAAAGAGAGACAGAGACAGAGACAGAGACAGAGAGACAGAGACUGAGACUUAGCUUUUAAGAAUCACUUUUUUUUUUAAAUCUCUAGGCUACUGUAUUUUAUAAACCUGUUCUGGGUGUGUCAGAACUAUAUUUGCCACUCCUCAGAACUAGAGUGUGUAGGGAUGGGAAGAAUCAAGAGGUAAAAUGUAUUCAUUUUAUAAGAUUUAUAAAGCUCAUUCAUCAGUCAGGCCAGUUUUCUGUGUUUUACUUCUGUAGCAAAUAGCUACUGGUGUGCUGGCUUUCAGCAUUGCAGACGUACCUAUCCCCAGGCCUUUAGACUUCUGACACACAUCCCAACAGGCUCUAAUCUAGGUGGUGGCUCACAGCAUUCUCUUUGGAGGCUGUAAGGGGGAAUUCAUUUCCUGGCUCCUGCACGGGGCCCAGAGGCAUCACAUUCCUGGGCUUUUGCUCUCCUUCCUCCACAGCCUGGCUUCUCUUCCCUUUCUCCAACAGGCCUAGCUCCCUGUGAGCUCAGGCAGAAAGCCUUCUGUUUUUAAGCCUCAUGUGAUUAGACAGAACACACUUUGAUAUACCAGGGCAAUCCCCUCUUUUCCACACCCACUCUUGAAUCACAUCUGUAAACUAACUUGGAAAGAGGCAGACACGGAAGAUAACAUAUUGUCGUGUUCUGAGGAUUAGAGAGUAGGGCGUGGAAUCUUGAGAGAGGGGAACUGUUUUGCCUCCAACAGCAAGUCCCGGAAUUCUAUAAGCAAUAAAAGAGAACAAAGUAACAUUUGGUAGGAAGGAAAGGCAGCAGGUCAUCUUGGUAUACAUUUUACAGUCCAUCUCUGGAGAGAAAAUGAGAUGAUCCUGAAGCCUGAAGCCAGUCAUGUUGUGUAAAGACAGCCACAUCUCAGGUUGUUUCAGUGUCUUCUGCCCUCCAGUUAAUAGGUUGAGUGAUAAUCCACGCAGUCCACAGGAUACACGUGUAGAAAUAAUUACAUUUGGCAUUUACUGACUCAUACUUAGCAACUGUGGCACUGGCGACAGCAUAGGGGUUAAGCAGGGAAAAACGUUGUCUAGCUAUGUGGAAUGAGGAGACUUAGCUCAAAUGAAUUAAAGCUGCUUCAAGGGAGUAUGAAGGGAGUUAGGUAGAUCUGCUCUCUGGCACUGAUUGGAGUUUUUAAAAGCUCUGUUCUUAUCUCUGUGUGGCACAAAGCUGUCCAUCAGAGAUCUCUUCCAUUCUCCACCAAGGCCCCCUAGGACAAUUGCUUCUGCUAUUUACCCAAGGAGUACCUGGACCCUAUGGGGCAGGGACCAGAGUUGUUCUGAUUUGAUAGAAAGUUGGACCCUCCAACACCAGGGCCUCUAUUGCUAUCAGAGAUGAGGAAAUGUAUGCAUAACACAAGCCAAGAUGGGGUGUCAUCUCCAGAUAUAGUCAACACCGCUCCUUUCCUCAGGGGCUGGAAUUUGGCGGUGUUCCAAGCUGUUGGUGACCAGCGCUUGGCGAUGAGAUCACCAUCAUAGUGCCACCGAUGCAGAAGGGCCUGCUGCUCUGGCAAGCGCCCAGGCAGACGACUGCCCUCCUCUCUCAGGGGAGUGCAAACACUAGACACGCUGUAAGGUCCAGCCCAUCACGGAGCAAGACCCUGAACUCUUCCGCCUUUGUGUGUGGUUUGCAUUUUUCUGUCAUGCUCCUUUUCCUGGAUAAAAGGGAUGAGGGGAGUUUUUCAGAUUUGAUUUCUCAGUGGGAACUGUUUGCUUUGGAAGCCACCUACACCAAUGCUAAUUGAGAACAGAGCACAGGAUGAGGGCCUGAGAAUGGCAGCCGAUGAACUUUUUGGUGGGCUGAAUUCUGUUCAUCAUGUCAGAACUGGGCUGUGAGUACAAGCAGGGGCCACUGUUUCCCAAAGGCUGCGCACUGCCUCAGCUUUCCCCAGUUCGACUUAUUACCCUCUCACACAUUAGUGAUUGAUUUCUCUGAGUCAAGCUUAUAAAGUCUUCAUUGUGAUCGUUCCCCGUCAUCCUAGCCCCUACAGCCCAGCAAUUUAGAGCCUGCAACUCCCCAAGUGCUCUGUAUCGUUCAGGUCUAAAUCUGAUGGGCUUCUAUUAGGGAGAUUACAGUAAAAAAUAACAAUCAGCUCUCAGAUGAUCCUGUGUGGAGGGGAAGGGUGGGGAGGAGUAGAUUUGGCUGAGGACAAGCCCAGACUUUCGUCACAGGGACAGACCCAAGUGUUAACACAAAGGGAAGGCAGGCGCAUCCUGCUCAGCGCAUUUCGGCCACAGAUAAUAUGGCCCGUGUGCUGGCCCAGCCCACACUCUGACCUCCAGGCGCCAGGUCCCCUACCUCAGUCACUCCUGCCCAGACCAGCUGCGGACAUGCUUAGCGGAUCCGGGUCCCAGGGAAGGCGCUGCCUGGCCACACUCUCUCAAAUUGCCUAUCAGAGAAAUGAUGAUGACGAAGAAGAGGCUGCCAGGGAACGGCGCCGCCGGGCCCGGCAGGAAAGGCUGCGGCAGAAGCAAGAGGAAGAAUCCUUGGGACAGGUGACAGACCAGGUGGAGGCCCAUGUCCAGAACAGUGUCCCCGAUGAAGAGUCUAAGCCAGCCUCCUCAAACACUCAGGUAGAAGGUGACGAGGAGGCUGCCUUACUGGAGCGCCUGGCUAGACGAGAAGAGAGACGUCAAAAACGCCUUCAGGAAGCCUUAGAGCGUCAGAAGGAGUUUGAUCCGACCAUAACAGAUGGCAGUCUCUCAGGCCCAAGCCGAAGAAUGCAAAAUGACUCCGCCGAAAAUGAGACAGCAGAGGGGGAAGAAAAAAGAGAGAGUCGCUCAGGACGGUAUGAGGUGGAAGAAACAGAAGUGGUCAUCAAGUCCUACCAGAAGAACAGCUAUCAGGAUGCUGAAGACAAAAAGAAAGAAGAAAAGGAAGAGGAGGAGCAAGAGAAGCUGAAGGGAGGGAGCCUUGGCGAAAAUCAGGUAGAGAAGAUGGUAGAGGAGAAAACACCAGAAAUCCAAGAGGAGGCUGUGCUGAUGGUAUUGGAAAACGGGCAGGUCAGCGCAGAAGAGUCCAAAAUAGAAGGGGAUGGGGAACAAGACAUGGAGGAGAUAGCCCGUCGAAAAAAGAUGGGGGAGGAAGAGAGAGAGAGAGCUGAGGCAGAGAGACUGAGGUUGGAAGUGGAGGGACAAGAACAAGAAAGAAUCAAAGCUGAGCAGGACAGAAAGCUAGCAGAGGAACGGGCAAGAGUCGAAGCAGAACAGAAAGCCGCUGCCGAGGAGAGGGAGAGGAGGGAGGCCGAGGAGAGGGAGAGAAGGGAGGCCGAGGAGAGAGAGAGGAGGGAGGCAGAGGAGCGUGCAGAGCAGGCGAGGAUCCAGGAGGAGCAGAGAAGAGUGGCUGAGGCACAGAAAAAGGCCAAGGCAGAGGAGGAGGAGAAGGCAAGGAUAGAAGAGCAAAGACAGAAACAGCAGCUGGAGGAGCAAAGGAGUGAGAAGCGAGAAGCCAAGGACAAGGGGGAGAAAGGAGCCGAGAAAGCAGACAGGAAAGGAGUGAAUGAAAGGGAGGCCCCAGACGACAGACUUCAGACAGCUGUCCCAAAGACGCAGGAAAAGGAAGAAGAGAAAGGAGUUAAAGGGCAAGCUCAAAGACAAAAGCCUCGGGAUGACAAGCCUGCCUUCAGAAAGGAAGAGAUCAAAGAUGAGAAGAUUAAAAAGGACAAAGAGCCCAAAGAAGAAGUCAAGAGCUUCUUGGAUAGAAAGAAAGGAUUUACAGAAGUGAAGGCGCAGAAUGGAGAAUUCAUGACCCACAAACUUAAACAAACCGAGAAUGCUUUCAGCCCCAGCCGUUCAGGAGGCCGGGCCAGUGGGGACAAGGAAGCUGAAGGUGCCCCACAAGUGGAAGCCGGCAAGAGGCUGGAGGAGCUGCGCCGACGCCGCGGGGAGACGGAGAACGAAGAGUUUGAAAAACUCAAACAGAAGCAACAGGAGGCAGCCUUGGAGCUGGAAGAGCUGAAGAAAAAGAGGGAAGAGAGAAGGAAGGUCCUGGAGGAAGAGGAGCAGAGAAGAAAGCAGGAGGAGGCUGAUCGAAAAGCUAGGGAGGAGGAAGAGAAGAGGAGGUUAAAGGAAGAGAUCGAAAGGAGAAGGGCAGAAGCUGCUGAGAAGCGCCAGAAGAUGCCAGAGGAUGGCCUGUCAGAGGACAAGAAGCCGUUCAAGUGCUUCACUCCUAAAGGCUCGUCUCUCAAGAUAGAGGAACGAGCAGAGUUUUUGAAUAAAUCUGUGCAGAAAAGUGGUGUCAGAUCUACUCACCAAGCAGCAGUAGUCUCCAAGAUUGACAGCCGGCUGGAGCAGUACACCAAUGCAAUCGAGGGAACAAAGGCUUCGAAACCUAUGAAGCCAGCAGCAUCGGAUCUCCCUGUUCCUGCCGAGGGCGUCCGCAAUAUCAAGAGCAUGUGGGAGAAGGGGAGCGUGUUCUCAGCCCCCUCUGCCUCAGGAACACCCAAUAAGGAAACUGCUGGCCUGAAGGUGGGAGUUUCCAGCCGCAUUAACGAAUGGCUAACUAAAUCACCAGAUGGCAACAAGUCACCUGCUCCCAAGCCUUCUAGAAUGAUGUCUUUCUCAGCUGGCUUCUCUUCUUCACUCUUUCGUCUCUGGUUGCCUGGAAACCUGCCUUUCCUGCCUUCAUUUCUCCCUCCUCUCCCAGAGUGGGUCUUUCUCUAACAUGUAGUCUGGUCAGGACUUGAGGCCAGGAGAUGUAUCUGGCAAGCGGAACCUCUGGGAAAAGCAAUCUGUGGAUAAGGUCACUUCCCCCACUAAGCAGGUCUGAAACAAUCGGAGAAAGAACCCAACUGCAAGCCAUCUCGCUGGGCCAGCUCAGUUGGAGAGGGCUAAUCGCUCUGUUUAUAUUUAUGUUUUCCAAUAUCCCAGUAAAUCCAUGUAUAUGCUCACUAUAUUUAAUAACCACAACUAGAGAUGUUCAUGGUCAAAGUACUGCCUUUGCAGAGGAGCCUGUUUCUAAAGAAACCAUGCUGUGAAGUAAACUCGCUACUGUCAUAUGAACAGUGACACCAACCACAUCGGAAGUCAACAAAAGGAAACUGAGCUUAAGAUUAUCUGAGGAAUGUAUGCAGUAUCUAGGGGCGAAACGACCCCGUAGGCUUUGUUUUGUCUCAGUACAGACAUCAUGUUUCUGCACUUUAGACUAAAGCAUGAAAGAAAUUAUCUAAAUAGGCAAUCAAAACUCUCUGAAAAUAAUCCACUUCAUAUCUGAUGUAGGGCAGUAAUGAUUGUCUGUUUUAAAAAAGAUGUAUUGUUGAGAUAUUGCUUUUUUUCUAUGCUGAUUCAUACCUAAAUUGGCUGAUUACUUUAGCUGACAGUGGUACUGACUUUUUUUCAGGUUAGUUGCUUUGUGGAUUUCUUUGGUAGUGAUAGUAGACUGAAUCACAUUUAGAUAACCCAACUAUGUAAUGAAUGUGCAUACGUGUAAACAGACACACUAAUGGUAGAUUACUCUUUCAUGUGCUAGACUAUUAUAUUUCAUAGUAUGUCCUUGUAACUAACUGAUAUCACAGCUUUUGAAGAUUAAGGAUCACAAUAGUAUAUUAAUAUUUCAUAUUUGCCAACAGAAAUAUGGAGUUAGGUAUAGCUAUGUUUUCAAUGCCCAAUGACUUAUAAGAAAAAAAGUAUUGGAAAAAAAAAGAGAAUACAAGUGUCAAAAUUGGUUGAAAUUUCUUAUAAGACAUAGUAUUUAGUUUAUAAUUGAGGGCAGUCUUGAAGUCCAGUGUGAAUUUUAUUAAGUCUACAAUCUGGACAAAGCUCAAACCCUGCUUAUUUGCGACCGUGAUGUUCACCCCCACCCCCACCCCACGUCAAAAAGUUGACCUGUAUUAUAUCUAAGGUGUCUCCUUCUCUACCACUUAGAACCAAGCAUUUUGGUGACUAGUGCACAAAUUAGUAUUCAUGUAGAUGUCUAAAGAAAGACCAACUUUGCCUCCUGUAGAAGCAGGCAGGUAACGUGAGCAGAAGCAUGGCAGUCCUAUCUUUAUGUACUCACACUCUUUAAAUUAAAUGUUUCCGCCUUUAUUAGUCAGUUGGUACGGUCAUAAGUUGAUAACAUCUUGAAAUUUGAAUUUUUUAUGUAAAUUUUAGUAGUUUUACUCCCCCCUCCCACCAAGGCUCUUUAAGGAACUCAUCAUUCAUAUAUCAGAUCCUAUUUUAGCUUACGUCUUUAUUCUUCCCAAUAGAUAAAAGUACUCUAGUGUCUUACAAAAAUGUUCUUAUCUAGAACAUUCUAUGCAUACAGCGUCAUUGUACAAACUCAUACCUCAGCUGACUUAACCAAAAUUAUCUUAGUCUCCACUCCUUCCACAGUAGGAGAGCCUCUAACAUUUCCAAUCCACAGAUUUCUUUUCAAGAGGAAAGGGUUGGCUUGAGGGUUUUUCAAGGGUUGGCCUUGAAAAAGUCUAUCUUUCUCGUGAAUUAGUAAGAGUUAGUUGGAUUCCCUAGCUUUUAGCAAACUUGGGCCAAAGGAAGAAAAGCCACUAAGACUGCACAAGUCAUCUACCCCCGACAGAGUAGACACAAGUCUAUGGUAAGACGAACAGAGUGCACAUGGCACACCCAUGAAAAUGACUUCCAUCGUUGGAGUACAAUGGAUCAAAGUUCGAUCUUAGGCAGAUGCUGAGGGAUCAUGCUCAUGUUAAUGAGGCCUUCUCUUGCUAUAUCUUACAGGCUUUUUGCUUGUUGUUUUUGCUUUUAAGAACGUUCAAAGUUGUGAGAUGACUGUUUUGAUCCUAAAUUUUAUUCCAACAUUUGGAUGACGAUGAGUUUUAGGGUAGAUUUUUCUCCGUUUGGAUUUAACCUUUGAAGAAGCAAAUUCCUCCUCUACUUGUUUGAUUACAGCUCUCUGUUAUCUUUAAGAGAGGAAACUGCAAGCUGACUAGCAUGUUCUGUGAAUCUGCCAUUGUUAAAAAACCUUAUAAACACUUAAUAUUUUUCACUGAUAAUUGAUCGCUGCAAUAAAAAUAUAUUGUGAAAAUGCAUCCACAAUAAAUGGAAUUCUUCCAGA